GAUGAACGCUGGCGGCGUGCUUAACACAUGCAAGUCGAACGGAAAGGCCUCUGCUUGCAGGGGUACUCGAGUGGCGAACGGGUGAGUAACACGUGGGUGAUCUGCCCUGCACUUCGGGAUAAGCCUGGGAAACUGGGUCUAAUACCGGAUAGGACAAUGGUUUGGAUGCUGUUGUUGAAAGUUUUUCGGUGUGGGAUGAGCUCGCGGCCUAUCAGCUUGUUGGUGGGGUAAUGGCCUACCAAGGCGUCGACGGGUAGCCGGCCUGAGAGGGUGUACGGCCACAUUGGGACUGGGAGAGGGCCCAGACUCCUACGGGAGGCAGCAGUGGGGAAUAUUGCACAAUGGGCGCAAGCCUGAUGCAGCGACGCCGCGUGGGGGAUGACGGCCUUCGGGUUGUAGACUCCUUUCGCUAGGGACGAAGCGUUUUUGUGACGGUACCUGGAGAAGAAGCACCGGCUAACUACGUG
This 467-nucleotide ribosomal RNA is filed under the name uncultured bacterium. RNAcentral describes it as "partial 16S ribosomal RNA". It matches the Rfam family "Bacterial small subunit ribosomal RNA", at positions 28 to 507 of the family's 1533-position model. The record is from RNAcentral.